UGCGAAGGGGGCUAGCGUUGCUCGGAAUUACUGGGCGUAAAGCGCACGUAGGCGGAUCUUUAAGUCAGGGGUGAAAUCCCAAGGCUCAACCUUGGAACUGCCUUUGAUACUGGGGGAUCUCGAGUCCGGAAGAGGUUGGUGGAACUGCGAGUGUAGAGGUGAAAUUCGUAGAUAUUCGCAAGAACACCAGUGGCGAAGGCGGCCAACUGGUCCGGUACUGACGCUGAGGUGCGAAAAGCGUGGGGAGCAAACAGG
RNAcentral lists this ribosomal RNA (255 nucleotides) under uncultured bacterium. RNAcentral describes it as "partial 16S ribosomal RNA". It matches the Rfam family "Bacterial small subunit ribosomal RNA", at positions 524 to 776 of the family's 1533-position model. The record is from RNAcentral.